GAUGAACGCUGGCGGCGUGCUUAAUACAUGCAAGUCGAGCGAACAGACGAGGAGCUUGCUCCUCUCACGUUAGCGACGGACGGGUGAGUAACACGUGGAUAACCUACCUAUAAGACUGGGAUAACUUCGGGAAACCGGAGCUAAUACCGGAUCAUAUAUUGAACCGCAUGGUUCAAUAGUGAAAGACGGUUUUGCUGUCACUUAUAGAUGGUUCCGCGCCGCAUUAGCUAGUUGGUAAGGUAACGGCUUACCAAGGCAACGAUGCGUAGCCGACCUGAGAGGAUGAUCGGCCACACUGGAACUGAGACACGGCCCAGACUCCUACGGGAGGCAGCAGUAGGGAAUCUUCGGCAAUGGGCGAAAGCCUGACGGAGCAACGCCGCGUGAGUGAUGAAGGCCUUCGGAUCGUAAAACUCUGUUAUUAGGGAAGAACAAAUGUGUAAGUAACUAUGGACGGCUUGACGGUACCGAAUCAGAAAGCAACGGCUAACUACGUG
Molecule: ribosomal RNA, 497 nt
Filed under: uncultured bacterium
Lineage: Bacteria
Description: partial 16S ribosomal RNA
Rfam family: Bacterial small subunit ribosomal RNA
Source: RNAcentral